Vigna radiata var. radiata (mung bean) is the source of this 2380-nucleotide RNA transcript. It is a transcript of the gene named protein SICKLE, with no coding region annotated. The transcript is spliced from 4 exons. The record is from RefSeq and is a predicted model, not a curated record. NCBI's taxonomy places the organism in Eukaryota, Viridiplantae, Streptophyta, Magnoliopsida, Fabales, Fabaceae.
UAAAAAACAUGAAACAUGAAAGAAUACACUAAAUUCAUAAUAACCAGUGGCAUCAAACCCGUUAGCCUUUGUUUCGCGCACCACUGCGUCAUACUUCAUACUUCAUUUCUCAUACUUCAUUUCUCUGCUUCAGACCCAAAUUCACAGAAGCACAUUUUUCAGCGUCUUCCUCGAGAGAAUUCGUCUCGCUCUCAAGAAAUCCUUCGCUCCAACCACAGAUUCACGUUUCCUCCGCACUGUUACAUGGAGGAUUCAGAGCAGAGGAAGAAAAGGCUGAGAGAAAUGCGCAUGCAAGCUGAUCAUGCUGAAGUUUCUGGUGCCAUGGAAGGUUCUGCUAUGCCCGGUUCUCUCUCAAAUCCCUUGAUUGAAGCUCCUUUAACUAUGCCAUCAUGGGAUAAAUCGUAUGCUGCUCCAAGGUUUGACUUUUAUACAGAUCCGAUGAGUGCCUUCUCUUCUAACAAAAGGAACAAUACUAGUAUCCAGGCUGCACCGGAUAGUUUCCCUCCAAAUGUUGGUUGCUCUCCUAUGGCACAGUAUUCAUCCCCACAUCCAGAAUCAACAAAUCCACGGAUGACUCUACCUCCUUUUCAAGUAUCAGCACCGGCAUAUGGAAACAUGGAUUUUAGUGGACCUAGAGGCCCUGCUCACGAUAACUUCCUAUUCCAUCCAUCAAGUGUUGGUAGACAUCCAAAUCCUAGAUUUGAACCAUCAGGUGGUCCAUUAUAUAACUCUACACAGGACAUAGCUCAUUGGGCCAGUUACAGUCCUAAUCCUUCUCCAGGGCACAUCAACAUUACAAGGCCCAGUAAGAAUCCCAAUCCUUCUCCAGGAUACAGCAAUAUUCAUAGGUCCAGUUACAGUCUCAAUCCUUCUCCAGGGUACAACAACAGUCCUAGGCCCAGUUACAGUCCCAAUCCUUCCCUAGGAUACAGCAACAGUCCUAGGCACAGUUACAGUCCUAAUCCUUUUCCAGGAUCUAGGCACAGUUACAGUCCCAAUCCUUCUAGGCCUGGUCAAGGGCGAGGGAGGGGUGAAUGGCACAACCCUGGUAGUUUUGUUUCAGGACGGGGUAGUGGACGAGGACCAAAUUUUCAUGGUCAUUUAUCCAACGAAAAAGCUGGUCUUGGUCCUAAUCGAUUUUACCAGAGCUCCAUGGUUGAAGAUCCAUGGAACCAUUUAGAGCCUAAAAUAUGGGAAGCAAUUGAUGGUUCUUUACAUUCUUCACGUAUACCUGAGAAAGUAAAACCUUGGAUUUCAAAAUCAAAGAGUACAAUAGGAGGGGGAUCAUCUGCUGCUUCUGUCAAGUUCUGUUCUGAACCAAGCCUUGCUGAAUACUUGGCUACUGCAUUCAAUGAAGCUGCCAACGAUGCAGAAAAUGUAUGAUGACAGCUACCCCUUACAUGAAGGGCCCAUCAUGACGUUACACACAGAGGAAUGAAUUUCCAGCCAGUGAAAAAACCAAAUAAAUUUCAAGUCAGUUCAUAGAUUAAUGCCAAGGAGGUACUAUUUGUACUAAAACACAAGAAAAUUUUUGGGAUGUGUUCGGUACUUGGCACGGUUUGAUAUGUUGGCGUCCAAUUAAUUGUGUACUAUCUAAAGUUGUACCGGUCCAGAUAAAAAGUCCAUUCAUAAUUUGUCUAGAAAGUAGAAACUGCAAAAUUAUAAUCACAUGUAAAGCGCUGGUAUCUAGUGAAAUCUCGGUCAAAUGCUUUAACUCAAGUGACAUGUGCAUGCCUAUACUGUGAUCCUGAUCACACAUUUCUACCCUAAAACGAUUUCCCCUCACACUGGGUCACCCAUUUAGCCUCUGCAGCACCCAAAAUCCCUGUGCUGCUGAACAGAGAAGCCUUGCAAAAGUACUCAGUUGAAGGGUGCAGGUUUUCUAACUUGAAUCUUUUCUCAGGCCUCAAGACGAUGAAGGUGGGUUGUUCAGGGUAGUCUGUAGUUGAUAUUCUGUGCCAAAGCCUGCAGCCUAGAAAGUUCUUUAAAAGUUUGUCAUCGUACUCCAGCACGAUAACCACUGAAGUAGAGGAAGACACUCUUCAAAACGAAUUGAACAUGCUGCCGAAUAAAGUCACCAGAAAAGUCAUAUCAGUAUGGAAACAGAGAAAAGGUCAGAAAACUUUGAAUCAAAACAUUCAAUUGCAGUUGAGCACAAUCUCUGAACCUCAGCACCACAUGAAAGCCGGCUUACAAUUCCACGAGUCAUCCUCGCAUAUACAUGAUCGAGUGAUCCCACUUCAUUCUCCAGUAACUUGAGAGCAGUUUCUACAAUCUUUUGCAGUUCCUUGUACAUUUCUGUUCCUAAAAGAAUUCUGUGAGCCAGGGAUAUUCGCAAAGACAGUAUAUCCAUUCUUCUUGCUUCUUUGGCAACCAAUAA